GGGGAUGUGGCUCAAGUGGUAGCGUGCUUGCCUAGCAUGCAUGAGGCACUGGGUUCAAUUCUCAGCGCCUCA
RNAcentral lists this transfer RNA (72 nucleotides) under Marmota monax (woodchuck). Its description in RNAcentral is "tRNA.Ala". The record is from RNAcentral. Lineage: Eukaryota; Metazoa; Chordata; Mammalia; Rodentia; Sciuridae.